This is a long non-coding RNA of Diorhabda carinulata, 826 nucleotides long. RefSeq lists it as uncharacterized. Lineage: Eukaryota; Metazoa; Arthropoda; Insecta; Coleoptera; Chrysomelidae. The transcript has 2 exons. The record is from RefSeq and is a predicted model, not a curated record.
GAGGGUGGAAAUUCCAAUAGGACAUUAUAUUAGGGUGCAGAUUGUUGAGAAGCUAUGGAGGGGAUCAUACAUAUAUAGCUUUGUAUACGCGCGCGCGGAGUCUAUAUUAUAUCACUCGAAAUCGCGUAGUGGAACACAACUGUGAAAGUCAAUAUCAGACAUAGUCGGAGAAAAGUACGAUGUCGGUUAGGAAAUUUUUCCAGUGGACGAGCCACAGUUGCCUCAAAGUUUUCAAAAAUUGGUCUACGUCGAUCCAAAAUAGAAGGCAACGAAAAAAAUACACAAGUUACGGAUCAGCAAUAUCAUUAUCCAAUUAUGGAUAUCGAGGAAGCAUUUCCACAGAGGUAACAAUUUUGGAUGAUAUUUAUCCCUGUUCAUGUCAGACAAGCAACAACGAAGUCAAUGAGAACAGACUUAACGAAUGCAUAGAGAAGAGAGAAUUGAGCUAUUAGUUCUUUGAUUUUAUAUAUAUUAUGCCCCAAGAACUGAAAUUUCUUAUAUUUCUUUAUUAUAUGUAUCACAGUGAAAAUUGUUGCUUAAUUUCUCAUUUUUAAAUAUGAUUAGAUGUAAUCAAAUAUACUACUCGUAACGAGUAACAUGUGUAAGUAAGGUUUAAAGUUUUAAAGAUGAGAAAUUUGAUCGACUUUUGUAGAAUCUCACUAUAAAUAUUAAUUUAGAGAUUUAUUUACUAGUCGUUUUUAGUAUUUAAUUUCAUAUAUAUUAUUUUUGGGGUAGAUCCAUAUCCUAUUAUUAUUUAUAACAAUUUAUGCUGUUUUGACUGUGAUAUUAGUGUUUAAGUAAUAAAUGUAUUUUCUGUUCGAUUAAA